GACGAACCGAGCGAACGUUGUUCGGAAUCACUGGGCUUAAAGGGCGCGUAGGCGGGUGCUCAAGUCCGGGGUGAAAUCCUCCAGCUCAACUGGAGAACUGCCUCGGAUACUGAGUGCCUCAAGUGUGGUAGGGGUGUGCGGAACUAUCGGUGGAGCGGUGAAAUGCGUUGAUAUCGAUAGGAACUCCGGUGGCGAAGGCGGCACACUGGACCACAACUGACGCUGAGGCGCGAAAGCCAGGGGAGCAAACGGG
Molecule: ribosomal RNA, 253 nt
Filed under: uncultured bacterium
Lineage: Bacteria
Description: partial 16S ribosomal RNA
Rfam family: Bacterial small subunit ribosomal RNA
Source: RNAcentral